CCUACGGGGGGCAGCAGUGGGGAAUAUUGCACAAUGGGGGAAACCCUGAUGCAGCGACUCCGCGUGAGUGAAGAAGUAUCUCGGUACGUAAAGCUCUAUCAGCAGGAAAGAAAAUGACGGUACCUGACUAAGAAGCCCCGGCUAACUACGUGCCAGCAGCCGCUGUAAUCCGUAGGGGGCAAGCGUUAUCCGGAUUUACUGGGUGUAAAGGGAGCGUAGACGGCAGCGCAAGUCUGGAGUGAAAUUCCGGGGCACAACCCCGGAACUGCGCUGGAAACUGUGAAGCUGGAGUGCAGGAGAGGUAAGCGGAAUUCCUGGUGUAGCGGUGAAAUGCGUAGAUAUCAGGAGGAACACCGGCGGAGAAGGCGGCUUACUGGACUGUAACUGACGUUGAGGCUCGAAGGCGUGGGGAGCAAACAGGAUUAGAUACCCCUGUAGUC
Molecule: ribosomal RNA, 440 nt
Filed under: uncultured bacterium
Lineage: Bacteria
Description: partial 16S ribosomal RNA
Rfam family: Bacterial small subunit ribosomal RNA
Source: RNAcentral